GGAAGUAAAAGUCGCAACAAGGUUUCCGUAGGUGAACCUGCGGAAGGAUCAUUAUUGUAUGACCGAGGUGCGAGGGCUGUCGCUGACCCGAAAGGUCGUGCACGCCCGAGUGCCCUCACACACAUCCAUCUCACCCCUAUGUGCACCACCGCGUGGGUCCCCCUUUGGCUUGUUCGGAGGGGGGCUUACGUUUUCACACAAACUUUGUAUGCAGUGUAGAAUAUAUUUUUUGUUUUUGCGAUCACGCAAUCAAUACAACUUUCAACAACGGAUCUCUUGGCUCUC
Molecule: unclassified non-coding RNA, 285 nt
Filed under: plant metagenome
Description: partial contains small subunit ribosomal RNA, internal transcribed spacer 1, and 5.8S ribosomal RNA
Rfam family: Eukaryotic small subunit ribosomal RNA (bases 1-54)
Source: RNAcentral